RNAcentral lists this ribosomal RNA (473 nucleotides) under uncultured Eubacteriales bacterium. Its description in RNAcentral is "bacterial SSU rRNA". It matches the Rfam family "Bacterial small subunit ribosomal RNA", at positions 8 to 507 of the family's 1533-position model. The record is from RNAcentral. Lineage: Bacteria; Bacillati; Bacillota; Clostridia; Eubacteriales.
AGAGUUUGAUCCUGGCUCAGGACGAACGCUGGCGGCGUGCUUAACACAUGCAAGUCGAGCGAACGUAGCAAUACGUUAGCGGCGGACGGGUGAGUAACGCGUGAGCAAUCUGCCUCUAUCAACGGGAUAACACUUAGAAAUAGGUGCUAAUACCGUAUAAGACCACGAUGCCGCAUGGCAUAGCGGUAAAAGCCACGACGGAUAGAGAUGAGCUCGCGUCCCAUUAGCUAGUUGGUAGUGUAACGGACUACCAAGGCGACGAUGGGUAGCCGACCUGAGAGGGUGAUCGGCCACAUUGGAACUGAGAAACGGUCCAAACUCCUACGGGAGGCAGCAGUGGGGAAUAUUGGGCAAUGGAGGGAACUCUGACCCAGCAACGCCGCGUGAAGGAUGAAGGUUUUCGGAUUGUAAACUUCUGUCGCGAGGGACGAAGAAUGACGGUACCUCGUAAGAAAGCCCCGGCUAACUACGUG